GUGUGGCAUCUGCGCCGAGCUGAGCCAGAACUUGACUCCUUUUUCCUUCCUUCCUUUCUUUCUUCCCCCAAGGCAUACAAGACUCACGCUGAACUGUCAGGUGGUUAAAUGAGGAGGAAGAUGAAGACCGCUCUGGAUAUGCAGCGUUAAAACAGUCUAAAUUAAGCAAGUUGUUUUGCAGGAAAAACCAGAAGUGACUUGGGAGAAAAAAAAAAUCAGAAUAAGCAAGUACUUCCGCUUAAUCAGUAUCCCAACAGCUUUGAAGCAUAGAGAACCAGCUGUAAUUGUCAGUGAAAACCUCAUGUUCUUCCAGCAGUUGGCAACAUCUUUUGCUUAAUUCCUGCACUGUCAACUCAGAUUGAUUUCCUUUUAAAUUAUAGCAUUUUGCCCCAUUUAUUUCUUUGGCAGACAAAGCCUAUUUGUUUGCUUUCUUUUUUAAGACAGUCUUUUUCAUUUAGGAAUGGAAAUAGGGCAAUGUAUUUACAUUGUUAAGCAAAAAACUGAGGUGUUAUUACAGAAGAUACAGAGCUGUGUGCCGAGGCUUUUUACAAGAGAUGAAACAUCUACAUUACCAAAGACUUGUCCUAGGAACUGUGCUAAGAGCUGACUCACCAACAGAAUUAAGCUUCUCAUAGACAAUGAAGGAAUCUUCUUUUGUUCUCCUGAAGCACAUAUUACAGAAACGAACAAAAGUGGUGGUAAAAAAUACCAGCUGAAUGAAUGCAAGCCUCGUAUAUGCUUUUCCCCAUAAACAGGUCUGAGAUACACUCUUCUACUGGUAUUGGUGUAGCAUCCUUUCUUUCACCAGAAAUUUACCUAGAUGCAGAAACAAACCGCUAAAACAAGGAGCUAGCUGAGCUGGAGGUAGGGGGUGAUACGGAGAGGCAUCUCCACCCAUCCUGCUCCAUCGUCCACUGGGGCUGUGUGGGGGCACCAGAGGAUUCUCAGGUCUACAGAGCACAAUUUGGAACCUGCCGAUUAAAUAGCCUCCGAAGUCAGUUACAGCUCCAAAAUUACUCUGCCAUAACUAUCUUGAUAUUGCAAAGACUGGUAAGGCAUUCAGUAGGAUCCAAAACUUCAUAGGAUCACAAGCCAUAAAACUAAACCAUGAGCUGGCUUUAUUUAAUCUUUAUUAUCAGUGACCUACUUAAAAAAAAAAAAAAAGGCCUCACCCUCAAAUAAAUCAUA
This is a long non-coding RNA of Camelus dromedarius (Arabian camel), 1188 nucleotides long. RefSeq lists it as uncharacterized. The transcript is spliced from 3 exons. Lineage: Eukaryota; Metazoa; Chordata; Mammalia; Artiodactyla; Camelidae. The record is from RefSeq and is a predicted model, not a curated record.